CCUACGGGGUGCAGCAGUGAGGAAUAUUGGUCAAUGGACGAGAGUCUGAACCAGCCAAGUAGCGUGAAGGAUGACUGCCCUAUGGGUUGUAAACUUCUUUUAUAAAGGAAUAAAACGAGGCACGUGUGCCUUUUUGCAUGUACUUUAUGAAUAAGGAUCGGCUAACUCCGUGCCAGCAGCCGCGGUAAUACGGAGGAUCCGAGCGUUAUCCGGAUUUAUUUGGUUUAAAGGGAGCGUAGAUGGGUUGUUAAGUCAGUUGUGAAAGUUUGCGGCUCAACCGUAAAAUUGCAAUUGAUACUGGCAGUCUUGAGUACAGUUGAGGUAAGCGGAAUUCGUGGUGUAGCGGUGAAAUGCUUAGAUAUCACGAAGAACCCCGAUUGCGAAGGCAGCUUACUAAACUGUGACUGACAUUGAUGCUCGAAAGUGUGGGUAUCAAACAGGAUUAGAUACCCGUGUAGUC
This 460-nucleotide ribosomal RNA is filed under the name uncultured bacterium. RNAcentral's name for it is "partial 16S ribosomal RNA". It matches the Rfam family "Bacterial small subunit ribosomal RNA", at positions 338 to 795 of the family's 1533-position model. The record is from RNAcentral.